This 816-nucleotide ribosomal RNA is filed under the name Streptomyces sp. LCK-2009.27. RNAcentral's name for it is "bacterial SSU rRNA". It matches the Rfam family "Bacterial small subunit ribosomal RNA", at positions 66 to 896 of the family's 1533-position model. Lineage: Bacteria; Bacillati; Actinomycetota; Actinomycetes; Kitasatosporales; Streptomycetaceae. The record is from RNAcentral.
ACGAUGAAGCCCUUCGGGGUGGAUUAGUGGCGAACGGGUGAGUAACACGUGGGCAAUCUGCCCUUCACUCUGGGACAAGCCCUGGAAACGGGGUCUAAUACCGGAUAACACUCCUGCCUGCAUGGGUGGGGGUUAAAAGCUCCGGCGGUGAAGGAUGAGCCCGCGGCCUAUCAGCUUGUUGGUGGGGUAAUGGCCUACCAAGGCGACGACGGGUAGCCGGCCUGAGAGGGCGACCGGCCACACUGGGACUGAGACACGGCCCAGACUCCUACGGGAGGCAGCAGUGGGGAAUAUUGCACAAUGGGCGAAAGCCUGAUGCAGCGACGCCGCGUGAGGGAUGACGGCCUUCGGGUUGUAAACCUCUUUCAGCAGGGAAGAAGCGAAAGUGACGGUACCUGCAGAAGAAGCGCCGGCUAACUACGUGCCAGCAGCCGCGGUAAUACGUAGGGCGCAAGCGUUGUCCGGAAUUAUUGGGCGUAAAGAGCUCGUAGGCGGCUUGUCGCGUCGGAUGUGAAAGCCCGGGGCUUAACCCCGGGUCUGCAUUCGAUACGGGCAGGCUAGAGUGUGGUAGGGGAGAUCGGAAUUCCUGGUGUAGCGGUGAAAUGCGCAGAUAUCAGGAGGAACACCGGUGGCGAAGGCGGAUCUCUGGGCCAUUACUGACGCUGAGGAGCGAAAGCGUGGGGAGCGAACAGGAUUAGAUACCCUGGUAGUCCACGCCGUAAACGUUGGGAACUAGGUGUUGGCGACAUUCCACGUCGUCGGUGCCGCAGCUAACGCAUUAAGUUCCCCGCCUGGGGAGUACNGGCCGCAAGGCUA